RNAcentral lists this ribosomal RNA (55 nucleotides) under uncultured fungus. Its description in RNAcentral is "partial 28S ribosomal RNA". The record is from RNAcentral. Lineage: Eukaryota; Fungi.
CGACAAGGGUUGACCUCUGAUGCGGGCAGGGUAUACCCGCUGAACUUAAGCAUAU